This 89-nucleotide transfer RNA is filed under the name bacterium. Its description in RNAcentral is "tRNA-Leu". It matches the Rfam family "tRNA". Rfam says of the family: Transfer RNA (tRNA) molecules are approximately 80 nucleotides in length. The record is from RNAcentral. RNAcentral also lists the same sequence under 1 other name.
GCCGAAGUGGCGAAAUUGGUAGACGCCCGGGACUUAAAAUCCCGUGGGAACUUGUUCCCGUGUCGGUUCGAGUCCGUCCUUCGGCACCA